UGCGUAGGCGGUUGGGUAAGUCUGAUGUGAAAUCCCCGGGCCCAACCCGGGAAUGGCAUCGGAGACUGCUCAGCUUGAGGGUUGGAGGGGGGACUGGAAUUCCCGGUGUAGCAGUGAAAUGCGUAGAUAUCGGGAGGAACACCUGUGGCGAAGGCGAGUCCCUGGACAAUACCUGACGCUGAGGCACGAAAGCCAGGGUAGCAAACA
This 207-nucleotide ribosomal RNA is filed under the name uncultured bacterium. Its description in RNAcentral is "partial 16S ribosomal RNA". It matches the Rfam family "Bacterial small subunit ribosomal RNA", at positions 568 to 774 of the family's 1533-position model. The record is from RNAcentral.